Molecule: long non-coding RNA, 843 nt
Organism: Magnolia sinica
Lineage: Eukaryota; Viridiplantae; Streptophyta; Magnoliopsida; Magnoliales; Magnoliaceae
Exons: 3
Source: RefSeq, a predicted model, not a curated record
CCUAGAAAACCCCAACACGAAAAAACAAAGGUUUAGAAAGAGAGAGCAUCAGAUAGGAACUCCCCAUUUGCAGACAGCAACUGAUUGAUAGCCUCAUCUCUCCUGUUAGUAGAGGAUUUAAAGUAGAAUUUGUUGUUGAAACAACUCUGUGGUAGUAGGGUCCCUGGUCUGGCGAUCCAAGCCGUUGAUCCGAACGGCCCUGCAGUGGAUGGAUUGCCCCAGAAAUCAAUCUUCCAGAUUGGAGAUUCUAAUGAAUAUUUCUGGGGCCUACCAUGGGGCCCACCAGAUCUGCUUUGGAUUACUGAACCAUGGUGGUUCGAGUCGACUCGGGAAUCAUUCCCUCAUUGAGUCUAUGGACAAGUGAUGGAGCAUAGCAUAAUGCAGACAGAGUACUCUGACAUUGACAUGUGGUCCAGUUGACGGGUUCAUGUCUCCAACUAUGAUUUGUGGGCCAUGAUCAUUGUUCAGUUGAGAUUGCUGAACGGAUGUUCGGUACUUACCGUAAUUAGAUGGGUUGUUGAUCAUGUCGGCGAAGACACGAUAGACGUCUUGGUAGACGAAGUAAGAGCCAGGGAGGGUGGUACCCAGUGUGGCGGUGAGCUGCACGAGCCGUUCGUUGAAUGCGCCGACCAGGUUGUUAACUCGCUCGACGCAACCAUUGCUCCCAUUGACCAUGGAUAGCUGACUCGGUAUGCAUCCAAGCGGGCCGAGUCCAACCAGCACCAUUUUCCUUGCUCCCAGACCAUAUAGUCUCUGCAGAGAAAACCCGUUAGAUCCAUAAAUAUUAUGAAUCUAAAACAAUCAUUAAUUGUUCAUAUAGAGGAAAAUACUACAUUCAUUUUA